Molecule: ribosomal RNA, 379 nt
Filed under: Mycobacterium sp.
Lineage: Bacteria; Bacillati; Actinomycetota; Actinomycetes; Mycobacteriales; Mycobacteriaceae
Description: bacterial SSU rRNA
Rfam family: Bacterial small subunit ribosomal RNA
Source: RNAcentral
CAAGUGACGGUACCUAUAGAAGAAGCACCGGCCAACUACGUGCCAGCAGCCGCGGUAAUACGUAGGGUGCGAGCGUUGUCCGGAAUUACUGGGCGUAAAGAGCUCGUAGGUGGUUUGUCGCGUUGUUCGUGAAAACUCACAGCUUAACUGUGGGCGUGCGGGCGAUACGGGCAGACUAGAGUACUGCAGGGGAGACUGGAAUUCCUGGUGUAGCGGUGGAAUGCGCAGAUAUCAGGAGGAACACCGGUGGCGAAGGCGGGUCUCUGGGCAGUAACUGACGCUGAGGAGCGAAAGCGUGGGGAGCGAACAGGAUUAGAUACCCUGGUAGUCCACGCCGUAAACGGUGGGUACUAGGUGUGGGUUCCUUCCUUGGGAUCCG